RNAcentral lists this ribosomal RNA (493 nucleotides) under uncultured bacterium. RNAcentral's name for it is "partial 16S ribosomal RNA". It matches the Rfam family "Bacterial small subunit ribosomal RNA", at positions 29 to 523 of the family's 1533-position model. The record is from RNAcentral.
AUUGAACGCUGGCGGCAUGCCUUACUCAUGCAAGUCGAACGGUAACAGGUUAAGCUGACGAGUGGCGAACGGGUGAGUAAUGUAUCGGAACGUGCCCAGUCGUGGGGGAUAACUGCUCGAAAGAGCAGCUAAUACCGCAUACGACCUGAGGGUGAAAGCGGGGGAUCGAAAGACCUCGCGCGAUUGGAGCGGCCGAUAUCAGAUUAGGUAGUUGGUGGGGUAAAGGCCCCCCAAGCCAACCAUCGGUAGCUGGUCUGGGGGGACGACCAGCCACACUGGGAAUGAGACAAGGCCCCGACUCCUACGGGAGGCAGCAGUGGGGAAUUUUGGACAAUGGGCGCAAGCCUGAUCCAGCCAUGCCGCGUGCGGGAAGAAGGCCUUCGGGUUGUAAGCCGCUUUUGUCAGGGAAGAAAAGGUUCUGGUUAAUACCUGGGACUCAUGACGGUACCUGAAGAAUAAGCACCGGCUAACUACGUGCCAGCAGCCGCGGUAA